UUCCAGAUUCAAGAUUCAAGGGGGGAGAGCCAGAAUUCAAGAUUCAAGAUCCAAGAAACAAGCAUUUCUCUCUUGCACUCUCUAAAACAUGCAUUUGGUGUAGUUACUUGAGGAGGAAUUGAAGCCUCACCAGGUCAGCUCUCUCUCUCUCUUCAAUGUCAUUUUAAUUCGUCUUCACUGGCUUCCGUCUCUUCAAGUACAGCGAUUAUCUUUACCUCUCUCUUUCUCAUCAAUUACAGUCAUUGUAGCUCAUCUCCACCUUCCUCUUUAUCUCUCUCUAAUAAGAUAUUAGACAAUUUUUCUCCCGUCUCUAUGCAGUAAUUUACAGGCAGAUUGAUCGAUAUUUAGUCCUAUCUCUCUCUCUCUCUCUCUAACGUUCACCGGAAUUUAAAUCUUGCUCCGAUUAUUAAUUACAGGCAUUUUAAGCUAUCUUUACUCCCUUUUGUUCUCUUUACAGGUUUUUUUAACACACACUCUCUCUCUCUAGCAGGCAAUUUACGAUCUUUACUCCCCUCUAU
RNAcentral lists this long non-coding RNA (518 nucleotides) under Amborella trichopoda. RNAcentral's name for it is "long non-coding RNA (ATRI_LNC003696)". The record is from RNAcentral. Lineage: Eukaryota; Viridiplantae; Streptophyta; Magnoliopsida; Amborellales; Amborellaceae.